Molecule: ribosomal RNA, 503 nt
Filed under: uncultured bacterium
Lineage: Bacteria
Description: partial 16S ribosomal RNA
Rfam family: Bacterial small subunit ribosomal RNA
Source: RNAcentral
AUUGAACGCUGGCGGCAGGCUUAACACAUGCAAGUCGAGCGGGGUGAUGGUGCUUGCACUAUCACUUAGCGGCGGACGGGUGAGGAAUGCUUAGGAAUCUGCCUAUUAGUGGGGGACAACAUCUCGAAAGGGAUGCUAAUACCGCAUACGUCCUACGGGAGAAAGCAGGGGAUCACUUGUGACCUUGCGCUAAUAGAUGAGCCUAAGUCGGAUUAGCUAGUUGGUGGGGUAAAGGCCUACCAAGGCGACGAUCUGUAGCGGGUCUGAGGGGAUGAUCCGCCACACUGGGACUGAGACACGGCCCAGACUCCUACGGGAGGCAGCAGUGGGGAAUAUUGGACAAUGGGGGGAACCCUGAUCCAGCCAUGCCGCGUGUGUGAAGAAGGCCUUAUGGUUGCAAAGCACUUUAAGCGAGGAGGAGGCUCUUUUGGUUAAUACCCAAGAUGAGUGGACGUUACUCGCAGAAUAAGCACCGGCUAACUCUGUGCCAGCAGCCGCCGUAA